Long non-coding RNA from Notechis scutatus (mainland tiger snake), 1637 nucleotides. Ensembl annotates it as parathymosin. The record is from Ensembl. NCBI's taxonomy places the organism in Eukaryota, Metazoa, Chordata, Lepidosauria, Squamata, Elapidae.
CGUCCCCAAGGGCACGAGCUCAGGUUCAUGGCUUUCGGUGCAGCCCUGGACCGCGUAAUCUCCUUUAACCCGUCCGAUAGAUAAUUAUUUGCAAAGCUCUCUUCGUUGGUUUUGCAAAACGCAGCGCUGCCGCUUCGCAAGCCCUUCUUUCCCGCUUGCCACUCGCUUCUCUCCCCUCUGCCUCUAAUCUCUCUCCUCCCUCCCUCCCGGCAGGCCCCUCCCUCCCCGCUCUCUCGUCACCGAGCCCCUUUUUCUGGCACUGCCUUGUCGCGGGAGAGAAGGAUUUUGUUGCUGGCGCUUGGGAGCGGAGCGGCUGCAGCUGGCAGGUCCCUGCUUCGAAAGCUGCAUCUCGUCUGCCUCGCCUUAAUUCUCGCUUGCUGCCAGGAUGUCAGAGAAGUCCGCCGACGAGGCUCCGGUGGAGCUCGGAGCCAAGGAGCUGAAAGAGAAGAAGGAAAAGCAUGAGGAGAAGUCUGCCCGCAAAGACAAGAAAGAGAUCGUAGAGGAUGAUGAAAAUGGGGCUGAAGAAGAGGAAGAUGAUGAAGAUGCAAAUCCUGAGGAUGUAGAUGAUGAGGAUGAAGAAGAUGAAGAUGAUGAGAAUGAACGGGAACCAGAUACACAUGCAGUAAAACGAUCUGCAGAAAAGAAGCAGGAAGAGGAUGAAGUUGACCCGAAAAGAAAGAAGACAGAAAAUGGCUCUUCAGCUUGAUCCUCUUGGCUCCAUCUGCAUCCUCUUCUCCGCUGUCCAACUAUCCGCACACCUUCCUUCCUCUGUCUGUGCAGGCAGCCUCUGUAGUGCUGUAGCUGCAGAUGAGGAAGAAGAGGGAGUUCAGUGUGCUUUCUGUCAAGAGGAAGCUCUUCUCCAGCUCCAAGAUCUGUUUCCAUAUUACAGUGCUCUCUACAGUUUCAUUACCCUUCACCCUCCAUUCAGAUAGCUCCAGUCUUUAGAAACAUUGCUUCCUCCGAUCUCUUCCCAGAACACCCUCACAAUUGCUGCCUGAGAUCCUCACGCCUCCUCAGCUUUCAACACCUCCUUGCAAACUCCUCCCUGCUCCCAUCCAGCACUUCACCCCUCCCCGUUGUUCCUUUUGGCCCCUUCCACAACCUUGUGGAGUUUCUAUGGUGCUGAAAGGGUUAAAUCACAUUUGGCACAUAGGAAGUCCAGAGCCGGGGAAAUUUGCUAUGAUAUGUUCCUGGGCUGUGCCUGUUCCCUUUCUAUUGCAGGAAAAAGUCAAAAUGUAGUGAUGGUGGUGAUGAUGAUAAUACAGUGAAAUGUGUUUUACUUAAAAAAAAAUAUUUACAGUUUUUAAUUAAUGCAUUUUGUACAAAUUUAAAUGACAGGCAGCAAGCUGAAUCUGGUGAACUUUUUUCUUCCUGGAGGCAAAGCUUGUUUUUAAUGUGUAAAGUAAUGUGUGAUUCGGUGUGGUUUUUUUCCCAUUUUGGGUGUUUGUUAUUUUUUAAUUAGGGGACCAAAGUUUGAUUUCUCCCUUGUUCCUGUCAGGUUCUUCGGUUGUUUUUCUUUGUAAAUUAAAGCAGAUCCAUCUGCAGUAUUUUCUAUGGCACAGACAUUAUGAGGAUGAGAUAUAUAAAUAUAUAUAUUGUUUAGCACUGUAAAUAAAAAACCUUUCAAAAAGAUUUCA